UACGUAGGUGGCAAGCGUUGUCCGGAAUUAUUGGGCGUAAAGCGCGCGCAGGCGGUUUCUUAAGUCUGAUGUGAAAGCCCACGGCUCAACCGUGGAGGGUCAUUGGAAACUGGAGAACUUGAGUGCAGGAGAGAAGAGUGGAAUUCCACGUGUAGCGGUGAAAUGCGUAGAGAUGUGGAGGAACACCAGUGGCGAAGGCGACUCUUUGGCCUGUAACUGACACUGAGGCGCGAAAGCGUGGGGAGCAAACAGG
This 253-nucleotide ribosomal RNA is filed under the name uncultured bacterium. RNAcentral describes it as "partial 16S ribosomal RNA". It matches the Rfam family "Bacterial small subunit ribosomal RNA", at positions 524 to 776 of the family's 1533-position model. The record is from RNAcentral.